This 421-nucleotide ribosomal RNA is filed under the name uncultured bacterium. RNAcentral describes it as "partial 16S ribosomal RNA". It matches the Rfam family "Bacterial small subunit ribosomal RNA", at positions 360 to 773 of the family's 1533-position model. The record is from RNAcentral.
AAUAUUGGACAAUGGUGGUAACCCUGAUCCAGCCAUGCCGCUUGUGUUAAGAUGGUCUUCUGAUUGUAAAGCACUUUACGUUGGGAGGUAGGGCUUUAGGCUAAUACCCUGAAGUUUUGACGUUACCAACAGAUUAAGUACCGGCUAACUCUGUGCUCACAGCCGCGGUAAUACAGAGGGUGCAAGCGUUAAUCGGAAUUAAUGGGCGUAAAGCGCGCGUAGGUGGUUAAGUAAGAUGGGUGUGAAAACCCCGGGCUUAACCUGGGAACUGCUUUCAUAACUGCUGAACUAGAGUACGGUAGAGGGUAGUGGAAUUUCCUGUGUAGCGGUGAAAUGCGUAGAUAUAGGAAGGAACACCAGUGGCGAAGGCGACUACCUGGACUGAUACUGACACUGAGGUGCGAAAGCGUGGGGAGCAAAC